GUUGAUAAGGGAUUUAAGGUGGAACGGGAGUUUUUGUUUGUUCUUGGUUUGCUAGUAGGGCAGGGACGGUAGUGCCGACAGCAGGAAAAGGUGGUAGUGUGACUAGUGUUUAUACAGUUUAUACGAGCUGCUUGCCUGUAACUGUAUAUUUCAGAAUAAUGUGGUGCUGGAGAGAAGCUCCAUGUUUUAGACCUGUCAUUGAUAAGUCACUAGUCCUCAGUAUCAGUUUCUAUUUGCGAUUGCUGGAUCAACAUUUAAAAAGUAAAAUAAGGGGUACUGGUAUUCUGUAGAGAUAUAGCAUUAUAAAAUUAUUUCCUGUUAGGUUGUGAUGUCCUGUAAGAGCAAACAGUAUUUCAGGUGGAUUGCAGGGACAGCAACCAAACACUUCAUAGUUUAACGUCAUUCAGAGUAUUGUCUCAUUGGAGUCACUCGGAGGAAUAACCAAAAGAAAAGAGCAGCUAGAACAUCACAGACAAUGUGAGAGACAUCUGGAUUCCUCAUAAACUGCGUCUUAGGGCUUUUUCAUAUAAUCAAUAAAAGUGUGCUUAAUUGUAUUUUAUUGUUUGCAUGAUACUUCUACAAAUCUCUGGACCAGCCCAGUUGUAUAAAUAACCCAAAGAGCUGCUUAGUCUGGGCAUGUCUUUAGAGACAACUUCCCGAGAAGUAACUAUAUUAGUUUGAUGCAGCAGAAACAACAUUCAGGGGGCACCUUCAAGAGUAACAAAUAUAUUCUGGCACCUGGCUUUCAUGCAGCUAAUGAAGUUGAUGCUGGUCUAUUAAAGUUUAUGCCAUAAUAAAUAUGCUAGUAUUUUAAGGUGCCAUAAGACACUCUUAAUAUUUUAAGAGGUAUCAGUGAAGCAACUUAGUAUCUGAGAGACGAAUCCCAGAAUUUCGUGCAAUAUUAUAGAGGAUGCUGUGGUAUGACUUUGAGAGGUGGGUCCCCAAGCUCUUCCGUAACACUGCCAAAAUCAUAAGAAAUAGCUUUCUAAGGCUGCUUCCAGAUGUGUGCUUAAUUUGCAAAGUGGCUAUUGAGAUAUCAUAAAUGGGAUACUGGCAACAGUUUUUUGUUUUACUUACUGGAUUUUUUUUCCUGGAAAGGGAAAGUACAGAUUAAAUAAGUAGCUGUCUAGUGGAACUUGUUGGUAUUGUCUGGGGCCUGUUAACAUUUACUUCAAGGAAUGGAGUUAUAAGCCCUUCAGAAGCCUGCUAUGAACUGUGUGCAAGGCACUUUGAAGAUAAAGUCACUUGCCUCCAUCACAAUGACACCACAUUUAUUGCAAUCUCCAUCCAACACAAUGUCUUCUGUGACAUGCUUUUGUUGAUGUAACUGCCAUUUUGUAUGUUGUAUACUGCCUCACUGUACUCUUAUGAAAAUAUUAUCAUAGCAUCAGUUUCAGUUGAUGCAGCCUGAUGAUGUGCACAAGGUACUUGCAUUGAUGCAUCUAACUAUGUGUUCCCUUGACCUUUGCCCCUCUUGCCUUAUUAAGGUAUAUCGAGGUCAUAUAACUGGGUGGAUCAAGGGUGUGGUCAAUGUAUCUUUGCUAGAGGGAGUGAUCUGGCAUUCUUGAAAGACAUGCUGAUCCUGAAAAAGCCCACCCUGGGCCCAUUGGUUUGUGAUAACAUAUUGCCAGGUUGCAAAUGCUACCUUUUGGGGGAAGGUGAUCAAGACGGUUGUGGUGGGGCCGUUGGCAAGCAUUCAUCAAUGAAGCAGAUUAUCUCAACCUAUUCCACUCUGGGUUCAGGCCUGGUCUGGGGACUGAAUCAGCCUUGGCUGCUCUGAUGGAUGACCUUUGUAAAGAGAAGGUCAGGGAGUGCACAACCCCUGUUAUUUUUGCUUGAUCUCUCAGUGGCUUUUGAUACCGUUGACCCAUGGUAUCCUCCUGACCUGACUUGGUAAGAUGGGUAUUGGGCAGGGCUGUGGAGUCAGUAUGUCAAACCUUCAACUCCGACUCCUCUAUUUUUCUACUGUCCGACUCUGACUCCUCUAUUUUUCUACUGUCCAACUCUGACUCCUCUAUUUUUCUACUGUCCAACUCUGACUAUAAAUGGCAAAUGUAUAUUAAUUUUUCUACUGUCUGACUCCGACUCUGACUCCUUCAUAAAUGGCAAAUGUAUAUUAAUCUAUUAAUAUUAAUAUUAAAAUAUUAAUUUUAUUUUGAAGUCAGAGUCAGUACAUUUCUACCGACUCCGACUCCACCCAAAAUUGCUUCCAGCUCCACCCAAAAUUGCUUCUGACUCCACAGCCCUGGUAUUGGGGCCACUGUUUGUCCAGUGGCUCUGCUCCAGGAUUAUUCAGAUAAUAUCACUGGGUGAUUAUUUUUCAGUUCCAUGGCAAUUUUGCAGUGGGGUGCCACGUGGUACCAUCUUGUCCCUAAUGCUAUUUAACAUCUGCAUGAAGCGGUUGGGAAUGGUCAUUAGAAGAUUUUGAGAAGGUGUGAUCAGUAUGCUGAUGACACCCAGCAAUAUUUCUCUGUAACAACUGAAUCAGGUGAGGCCAUGCAAGCUCUAGAUCAUUCCUGUUCUUGGUGGUGGGCUGGAUGAGAGCCACCAAACUAAAACUGAAUUCUGGCAAGACUGAGGUCCUAUGCUUGAGCAGUUUCCAAGGUCUGAUAAUAUGCCUGCUUUGGAUGAGUUCAUACUCCUCCUGAAGGAGCAGAUUCAUAGUCUGGGAAGGCUCCUGGAUAUUUGUCACUAGAGGCCCAGGUGACCUCAAUGACACCAGCUUCAACUGGUGGGACAGCUAUGGACACUGCUGGACUGGGACAGCCUGACCACUGUCAUCCAUUCUUUGGUAACCUCCAGAGUGGACUGUGGCCAUGUGCUCUAUGUGGGGCUGCUUCUGAGUUGGCCUAGAAGCUGCAACUAUUGCAAAAUGCAGUGGCUGAACUGCUCAUUAGGCCAAAAUAUUGUGAUCGUGUUACACAGAUGCUGAAAGACUUAUACUAGCUGCCACUUAGAUACCAGGCUAAGGGCAAGGUGCUGGUACUUACACAGCUUAGGAGCAGGAUACCUAAAAGAUCAUUUCACCCCUUAUAUACCCAAUUGAUCACUGCACUUUGCAGGAGAGAGCUUCCUGCAGAUAAAUAUCUUGUCAGGAGGUCCAUUCGGUAGUGUAGAAAUAGGACCUUCAGUGUGGUGGCACCUUCCAUUUAGAAAUCCCUUCUGUUGCAUAUCAGGAAAACACUAUCUUUACUGACUUUUCAAUGCCUACUUUCCUCUUGAAUCCUUUUAAGUGGAUAUUUUUAUCCUAGAUUUUAUCUGCAUUGGAUUUAAACUGUAUUUAUAUGUGUUUUUAUUGUUAAACUACUUCAGUUGGCCUUGGUUCUGAUGGACGAUGCUUAUUUUUUGGGAAGCAAUUUGUAAAUUAAAUAAAUAAUUAUAAAUAAUUGAAAACUACACAAGCUACUAGUGGCAUUUGUACAAAUUAUACAAAUAUACUGGCUGGUGCAGAUGUACCCAGACACACAUUGACAUCUAUCAGAAUAUUCAGCUCCAAUACUGUCCCAUCUGCACUAUCUUCCAAUCUGUUUCUAAGCCUAAUUCAAAGUUCUUUUUUUAAAAGUUGGGUCACCUAAUGGAAUGGUGAAGUCAGGCAAUUGAUAGAUGGGCAACCCUGCUCAUCUGUCAAAAUGGCCCAUGGGGGAAGAACUCUAGAUCCAGCCCAUAUAUAAAUACUUUUAUAAAUAAAUAAAAUAACUAUUUAAAAACCUACUUUACACAGAAGGCCCAUGAAGGCAGAGAUGCUUAAGGUCAUACUUCUAUGCAUUCAAAUGUAGUUGUUUAAUUUCCAGGCUAUUACUCUAAAAAUCUAAAACCAUAUAAAUCCAUGUCAGCAUUUGUUGGAUAAGCCAUGCUCAAACUCUCUCAUCAAUCACACAGGACCUCAGUCCAGCUUUCAUGCAUUACUUAUGGUCUUUCUCCAGAAUGUUGGAGAGGAUGUGGGGCCCUAUGUACCUAUUUUCAUCUAUGGUGGGAAUGCUCCUGUAUAAAAACCUUAUUGGAUGGAGGUUUUUGAAGAAUUAUCCAUGCUCCCAUUCAGAUGUUAUGUGUUUCAGUUGUUGAUGAAUAUUACUCUAUUUUAUUUAAAUAUCUUGUAAUAUAUCUUUUAUUUGCUGCUCAUCUUUCACUUGCUCAAACAUGGAAAACUGUGAAUAACUUGAACAUUUCCCUUUUGUCUAAGAAUACCUGGAAGAUUGCCAUUUUGCAAAAAGUUACACUUUCUUUAUGAUUAAGUCAAGGGAGAGCUAAACCAGAUGCAUUUCAUGUGGUUUCAUGGGACUUUAUUUUGUAUACUUCUGAACAUCAAAUGCAGCAGUGCUUGUCACUGGCCUUUCAAGAAAUCUGGGACUCAUAAUUUGCUUUUGCACUGUUUGUCAUAUUACUUUAUGUCACCAUCCA
Long non-coding RNA from Rhineura floridana, 4398 nucleotides. RefSeq lists it as uncharacterized. NCBI's taxonomy places the organism in Eukaryota, Metazoa, Chordata, Lepidosauria, Squamata, Rhineuridae. The record is from RefSeq and is a predicted model, not a curated record. The transcript has 3 exons.